UACGGAGGGGGCUAGCGUUGUUCGGAAAUACUGGGCGUAAAGAGCUCGUAGGCGGCUUGGCAAGUCGGGUGUGAAACCUCCAGCUCAACCUGGAGACGCCACUCGAUACUGCCAUGGCUAGAGUCCGGUAGGGGACCACGGAAUUCCUGGUGUAGCGGUGAAAUGCGCAGAUAUCAGGAGGAACACCGGUGGCGAAGGCGGUGGUCUGGGCCGGCACUGACGCUGAGGAGCGAAAGCGUGGGUAGCAACAGG
RNAcentral lists this ribosomal RNA (252 nucleotides) under uncultured bacterium. RNAcentral describes it as "partial 16S ribosomal RNA". It matches the Rfam family "Bacterial small subunit ribosomal RNA", at positions 524 to 775 of the family's 1533-position model. The record is from RNAcentral.